CAAUAGCGUAUAUUUAAGUUGUUGCAGUUAAAAAGCUCGUAGUUGGAUUUCGGGUGGGACGCAGCGGUCUCGCAUUGCGUUCGUACUGCUGCAGCCCUCCUUCUUGCCGGGGGCGGCCUCUCGGACUUCACUGUCUGGGGGUCAGAAUCGGCGAUGUUACUUUGAGUAAAUUAGAGUGUUCAAAGCAAGCUUACGCUCUGAAUAUAAUAGCAUGGGAUAACACGACAGGACUCUGGCCUAUCGUGUUGGUCUAUAGGACCAGAGUAAUGAUUAAGAGGGACAGUCGGGGGCAUUCGUAUUCCGUUGUCAGAGGUGAAAUUCUUGGAUUUACGGAAGACGAACAUCUGCGAAAGCAUUUGCCAAGGAUGUUUUCAUUGA
RNAcentral lists this ribosomal RNA (378 nucleotides) under uncultured eukaryote. RNAcentral's name for it is "partial 18S ribosomal RNA". It matches the Rfam family "Eukaryotic small subunit ribosomal RNA", at positions 592 to 976 of the family's 1831-position model. The record is from RNAcentral.